Molecule: ribosomal RNA, 491 nt
Filed under: uncultured bacterium
Lineage: Bacteria
Description: partial 16S ribosomal RNA
Rfam family: Bacterial small subunit ribosomal RNA
Source: RNAcentral
AGUGAACGCUGGCGGUAGGCCUAACACAUGCCAGUCGAACGGCAGCACAGUAAGAGCUUGCUCUUACGGGUGGCGAGUGGCGGACGGGUGAGGAAUAAAUCGGAAUCUACUUUUUCGUGGGGGAUAACGUAGGGAAACUUACGCUAAUACCGCAUACGACCUACGGGUGAAAGCAGGGGAUCUUCGGACCUUGCGCGAUUGAAUGAGCCGAUGUCGGAUUAGCUAGUUGGCGGGGUAAAGGCCCACCAAGGCGACGAUCCGUAGCUGGUCUGAGAGGAUGAUCAGCCACACUGGAACUGAGACACGGUCCAGACGCCUACGGGAGGCAGCAGUGGGGAAUAUUGGACAAUGGGCGCAAGCCUGAUCCAGCCAUACCGCGUGGGUGAAGAAGGCCUUCGGGUUGUAAAGCCCUUUUGUUGGGAAAGAAAAGCAGCAGGUUAAUACCCCGCUGUUCUGACGGGACCAAAAGAAUAAGCACAGGCUAACUUCGU